RNAcentral lists this ribosomal RNA (450 nucleotides) under uncultured bacterium. RNAcentral's name for it is "partial 16S ribosomal RNA". It matches the Rfam family "Bacterial small subunit ribosomal RNA", at positions 354 to 796 of the family's 1533-position model. The record is from RNAcentral.
GUGGGGAAUAUUGGACAAUGGGCGAAAGCCUGAUCCAGCCAUGCCGCGUGUGUGAAGAAGGUCUUCGGAUUGUAAAGCACUUUAAGUUGGGAGGAAGGGCAGUAAGUUAAUACCUUGCUGUUUUGACGUUACCGACAGAAUAAGCACCGGCUAACUUCGUGCCAGCAGCCGCGGUAAUACGAAGGGUGCAAGCGUUAAUCGGAAUUACUGGGCGUAAAGCGCGCGUAGGUGGUUCAGCAAGUUGGAGGUGAAAUCCCCGGGCUCAACCUGGGAACUGCCUCCAAAACUACUGGGCUAGAGUACGGUAGAGGGUAGUGGAAUUUCCUGUGUAGCGGUGAAAUGCGUAGAUAUAGGAAGGAACACCAGUGGCGAAGGCGACCACCUGGACUGAUACUGACACUGAGGUGCGAAAGCGUGGGGAGCAAACAGGAUUAGAUACCCCAGUAGUCC